RNAcentral lists this ribosomal RNA (253 nucleotides) under uncultured bacterium. RNAcentral's name for it is "partial 16S ribosomal RNA". It matches the Rfam family "Bacterial small subunit ribosomal RNA", at positions 524 to 776 of the family's 1533-position model. The record is from RNAcentral.
GACGGAGGAUGCAAGCGUUAUCCGGAAUGAUUGGGCGUAAAGCGUCCGCAGGUGGCAGUUCAAGUCUGCUGUCAAAGACCGGGGCUUAACUUCGGAAAGGCAGUGGAAACUGAACAGCUAGAGUAUGGUAGGGGCAGAGGGAAUUCCUGGUGUAGCGGUGAAAUGCGUAGAGAUUAGGAAGAACAUCGGUGGCGAAGGCGCUCUGCUGGACCAUAACUGACACUCAGGGACGAAAGCUAGGGGAGCGAAUGGG